AUGCUCUCUUUCUUUUACACAACUAUUGGGUUUUAUCUCAACACAAUGAUGGUUGUGCUAACCGUAUAUGCAUUUGUGUGGGGCCGCUUUUAUCUUGCACUUAGUGGGCUCGAAGACUAUAUCAGCAGCAACACUAGCUCUAUUGAUAAUGCAGCUCUGGGGGCUGUGUUGAACCAGCAGUUUAUCGUACAGCUUGGCCUGUUCACAGCAUUGCCCAUGAUUAUUGAGAGCUCACUUGAGCAUGGUUUUCUGACCGCGGUGUGGGAUUUCAUAAUAAUGCAGUUGCAGUUUGCGUCUGUCUUCUACACCUUCUCCAUGGGGACCAAGACACACUAUUUUGGGCGGACACUUCUUCAUGGAGGUGCAAAGUACCGUCCUACUGGCCGUGGUUUCGUGGUGGAGCACAGGAAAUUUUCCGACAACUAUAGGCUAUACGCCCGUAGCCAUUUCAUGAAAGCAAUAGAGCUUGGUGUGAUAUUGUCCCUUUAUUUCUCUUAUAGCAACGUCUCUGGGAGUACGUUGGUGUACAUCCUGCUGACGCUUUCUAGUUGGUUUCUAGUAUGCUCGUGGAUUCUUGCCCCCUUCAUUUUUAACCCAUCGGGUUUGGACUGGCAGAAGAAUGCCGAUGAUUUUGAGGAUUUCUUCAACUGGAUUUGGUUCCGGGGUGGAAUUUUGGUCAAGUCCGAGCAAAGCUGGGAGAGGUGGUGGGAAGAGGAAACCGACCAUCUCCGAACCACUGGCCUGUGGGGGAGCAUCAUUGAGAUCAUACUGGACCUCCGGUAUUUCUUCUUCCAGUAUGCUAUUGUGUAUCGGCUUCACAUAGCCGGUGGGAGUAGAAGCAUCCUUGUCUAUGUUCUAUCAUGGGUAUGCAUACCGAUGGCUCUUGUGGCUCUUGUCACGAUUACCUACUUCAGAGACAAAUAUUCAGCAAAGAAGCACAUCCGCUACCGGCUUGUCCAGGCUGUUACUGUUUGUGCCUCUUUGGCGGCUAUAGUUGUGCUGCUUGCACUUACAGAGUUCCAGUUCAUUGACACUUUCACCUGUCUCUUGGCUUUUAUACCAACUGGCUGGGGGAUCAUAUCCAUUGCUCUGGUUUUCAAGCCGUGCCUGGGGAAGUAUGGCACUGUUUGGAAAACCGUGGUUGAUGUGGCACGUUUUUAUGAUAUAAUGUGCGGAUUAAUUGUGAUGGCACCGAUAGCUAUCUUGUCAUGGUUGCCCGGACUCGAGGAGAUGCAAACAAGGAUCCUGUUUAACGAAGCUUUCAGUAGGGGACUUCAUAUUUCCCAAAUGAUUACUCGCAAAAAAGCACGUGGAGCUUAA
Molecule: ribosomal RNA, 1320 nt
Filed under: Triticum aestivum (bread wheat)
Lineage: Eukaryota; Viridiplantae; Streptophyta; Magnoliopsida; Poales; Poaceae
Description: partial small subunit ribosomal RNA
Source: RNAcentral